GGCGAAGUAGCUCAGUUGGUUAGAGCAACGGAUUCAUACUCCGUGUGUCAGUGGUUCGAAUCCACUUUUCGUCA
Micromonas sp. is the source of this 74-nucleotide transfer RNA. It matches the Rfam family "tRNA". Rfam says of the family: Transfer RNA (tRNA) molecules are approximately 80 nucleotides in length. Their secondary structure includes four short double-helical elements and three loops (D, anti-codon, and T loops). Further hydrogen bonds mediate the characteristic L-shaped molecular structure. tRNAs have two regions of fundamental functional importance: the anti-codon, which is responsible for specific mRNA codon recognition, and the 3' end, to which the tRNAs corresponding amino acid is attached (by aminoacyl-tRNA synthetases). tRNAs cope with the degeneracy of the genetic code in two manners: having more than one tRNA (with a specific anti-codon) for a particular amino acid; and 'wobble' base-pairing, i.e. permitting non-standard base-pairing at the 3rd anti-codon position. Lineage: Eukaryota; Viridiplantae; Chlorophyta; Mamiellophyceae; Mamiellales; Mamiellaceae. The record is from Rfam.